Molecule: ribosomal RNA, 297 nt
Filed under: uncultured bacterium
Lineage: Bacteria
Description: partial 16S ribosomal RNA
Rfam family: Bacterial small subunit ribosomal RNA
Source: RNAcentral
AACGAACGCUGGCGGCAUGCCUAACACAUGCAAGUCGAACGGGCAUGGACCAAAGCUUGCUUUGGGACCCAGCUAGUGGCGCACGGGUGAGUAACGCGUGGGAACCUGCCUGAUAGUACGGAAUAGCCCUGGGAAACUGGGUUUAAUACCGUAUACGCUCUUCGGAGGAAAGAUUUAUCGCUAUCAGAUGGGCCCGCGUUAGAUUAGCUAGUUGGUGGGGUAAUGGCCUACCAAGGCGACGAUCUAUAGCUGGUCUGAGAGGAUGAUCAGCCACACUGGAACUGAGACACGGUCCAG